UACGUAGGGGGCAAGCGUUGUCCGGAUUCAUUGGGCGUAAAGAGCGUGUAGGCGGCCAGGUAGGUCGGUUGUGAAAACUGGAGGCUCAACCUUCAGAGGUCGACCGAAACCAUCUGGCUAGAGUCCGGGAGAGGAGAGUGGAAUUCCUGGUGUAGCGGUGAAAUGCGCAGAUAUCGGGAGGAACACCAGUGGCGAAGGCGGCGAUCUGGGAAGAUACUGACGCUGAGGUGCGAAAGCGUGGGGAGCAAACAGG
RNAcentral lists this ribosomal RNA (253 nucleotides) under uncultured bacterium. Its description in RNAcentral is "partial 16S ribosomal RNA". It matches the Rfam family "Bacterial small subunit ribosomal RNA", at positions 524 to 776 of the family's 1533-position model. The record is from RNAcentral.